GGCCGGUGGUGGACGGGCGCCCCGCCAAUCCGGUCAGGUCCGGAAGGAAGCAGCCGUAACGGGUUUCGCCCGGGUCAUUCGCCGGUCUCC
This 90-nucleotide signal recognition particle RNA is filed under the name Alphaproteobacteria bacterium. RNAcentral describes it as "signal recognition particle sRNA small type". It matches the Rfam family "Bacterial small signal recognition particle RNA". From Rfam's summary of the family: The signal recognition particle (SRP) is a universally conserved ribonucleoprotein involved in the co-translational targeting of proteins to membranes. The record is from RNAcentral. RNAcentral also lists the same sequence under 1 other name. Lineage: Bacteria; Pseudomonadati; Pseudomonadota; Alphaproteobacteria.